ACCGAAGGCGCGGGAUAGCAUUUAAGAAAGUAUCGGUAGGGGAGCAUACUCACAGCGUUGAAUGGUGUACGUAAGUUAUCCUGGAGCGGUGAGUAAAGCAAAUGUAGGAAUAAGUAACGAUAAGGAGGGUUAGAUUCCCUCCCGCUGUAAGACCAAGGUUUCCCGGGCAAUGCCAAUCAGCCCGGGGUCAGUCGGGUCCUAAGUCUAAGCCGAACGGCGAUGGCGAUGGCAGAGACGGUUAAUAUUCCGUCACUGCCGCAUGGGGCGACGUGGAGACGGAGCAGUGAAACCACCGCGGGGCGACGGAAGUCCCCGUUGAAGAGUGUAGGCGUUGAGGAUGGCAGGCAAAUCCACCGUCCGAGCUGAACAUGAUAGUAUGGAGUCUUCUUCGGAAGAAUCCAAUAGUGUGGGUAAUCAUACUCCCGAGAAAAUCCGCUAAGCUUAACCCAUGCGGCACCCGUACCGCAAACGGACACACGUGGUCGGGUAGAACAUACUGAGGCGUUGAGAGAUUCAUGGUUAAGGAACUAGGCAAAUUGACCCUGUAACUUCGGGAUAAAGGGUCCUCGUGAAGAGCGAGGCGCAGAGAAUAGGUCCAGGCAACUGUUUAACAAAAACACAGGGCUGUGCAAACUCGAAACAUGACGUAUACAGCCUGACACCUGCCCGGUGCCGGAAGGUUAAGAGGAGAUGUCACACUUAUGUGGAAGCAUUGAAUUGAAGCCCCGGUAAACGGCGGCCGUAACAAUAACGGUCCUAAGGUAGCGAAAUUCCUUGUCGGGUAAGUUCCGACCUGCACGAAUGGUGUAAUGAUCCGGACGCUGUCUCAACCAUGAGCUCAGUGAAAUUGUAGUAUCGGUGAAGAUGCCGAUUACCCGCGAUGGGACGAAAAGACCCCGUGAACCUUUACUACAGCUUAGCAUUGACCUUGGUCAUCCGAUGUGUAGGAUAGGCCGGAGGCUUCGAAGCGGGAGCGCCAGCUUUCGUGGAGCCAUCCUUGAAAUACGGCCCUUUGGCUGUCUGAGGUCUAACGCGCGAUGCGCGGACACUGCUUGGUGGGUAGUUUGACUGGGGUGGUCGCCUCCAAAAGCGUAACGGAGGCUUCCAAAGGUGCCCUCGGGUCGAUUGGUAACCGACCUCAAAGAGUGCAAUGGCAUAAGGGCGCUUGACUGGGAGGCAGACAUGCCGAGCAGGCAGGAAACUGGGGCAUAGUGAUCCGGCGGAUGUGUAUGGAAACUCCGUCGCUCAAAGGAUAAAAGGUACUCCGGGAUAACAGGCUGAUCCCCCCCAAGAGCUCAUAUCGACGGGGUGGUUUGGCACCUCGAUGUCGGCUCGUCACAUCCUGGGGCUGGAGAAGGUCCCAAGGGUUGGGCUGUUCGCCCAUUAAAGUGGCACGCGAGCUGGGUUCAGAACGUCGUGAGGCAGUUCGGUCUCUAUCUAUCGUGGGCGUGGGAGUUUUGCGUGGUGCCGUCACUAGUACGAGAGGACCGUGAUGGACAGACCUCCGGUUUACCAGUUGUGCCGCCAGGCGCACCGCUGGGUAUCUGAGUCUGGAUUGGAUAAGCGCUGAAAGCAUCUAAGUGCGAAGCCAGCCGCAAGAUGAGAACUCCAUUGAGGGUCGUCAGAGACGAUGACGUUGAUAGGAUGCAGGUGUAAAGACAGCGAUGUCAAAGCCGAGCAUUACUAAUUGCCCA
Molecule: ribosomal RNA, 1694 nt
Filed under: metagenome
Description: bacterial LSU rRNA
Rfam family: Bacterial large subunit ribosomal RNA
Source: RNAcentral